GACGAACGCUGGCGGCGUGCUUAACACAUGCAAGUCGAACGGAAAGGCCCUGCUUUUGUGCGGUGUUCGUGUGCCGCACGGGUGUGUAUCACGCGAGUAACCUGCCCUUGAGUGUGGGAUACCUUAUGGGAACUGGGGCUAAUAUCGGACAGGGCUACUUUAGAAACGAGGGGUAUGGUUAGAUUCGGCGGUUGGGGAAGGCACCGCGGCUCACGCGCUUGUUGGUGAGGUUGGUGCUUACCAAGGCCAUGACGGCUAGGCUGCCUGGGAGGGUGACCGGCCACAUUGGGACAGAGAAACCGCCCAGACUCCUACGGGGGGCAGCAGUGAGGGACAGUGCACAAUGGGCGGAAGCCGGAUGCGGCAACGCCGCGUGCGGGAUGACGGCCUUCGGGGUGGAAACCUCGUUCGCCUGUGACGAAGCGUGAGUGACGGUAAUGAGUAAAGAAGCACCGGCUAACUACGUG
RNAcentral lists this ribosomal RNA (467 nucleotides) under uncultured bacterium. Its description in RNAcentral is "partial 16S ribosomal RNA". It matches the Rfam family "Bacterial small subunit ribosomal RNA", at positions 28 to 507 of the family's 1533-position model. The record is from RNAcentral.